RNAcentral lists this ribosomal RNA (695 nucleotides) under uncultured bacterium. RNAcentral describes it as "bacterial SSU rRNA". It matches the Rfam family "Bacterial small subunit ribosomal RNA", at positions 32 to 715 of the family's 1533-position model. The record is from RNAcentral.
AACGCUAGCUACAGGCUUAACACAUGCAAGUCGAGGGGCAGCGGGAGAUGUAGCAAUACAUUUUGCCGGCGACCGGCGCACGGGUGAGUAACACGUAUGCAACCUGCCCAUAGCAGGGGGAUAACCCGGAGAAAUCCGGACUAAUACCGCGUAAUACUUUUGAAAGGCAUCUUUUAAAAGUUAAAGAUUUAUCGGCUAUGGAUGGGCAUGCGGCGCAUUAGUUAGUUGGCGGGGUAACGGCCCACCAAGACGACGAUGCGUAGGGGUUCUGAGAGGAAGGUCCCCCACAUUGGUACUGAGACACGGACCAAACUCCUACGGGAGGCAGCAGUGAGGAAUAUUGGUCAAUGGGCGCGAGCCUGAACCAGCCAAGUCGCGUGAGGGAAGACGGUCCUAUGGAUUGUAAACCUCUUUUGUCAGGGAGCAAAAGGCGUCACGUGUGACGCAAAGGAGAGUACCUGAAGAAAAAGCAUCGGCUAACUCCGUGCCAGCAGCCGCGGUAAUACGGAGGAUGCGAGCGUUAUCCGGAUUUAUUGGGUUUAAAGGGUGCGUAGGCGGAUAGUUAAGUCAGCGGUAAAAUUGAGAGGCUCAACCUCUUCGAGCCGUUGAAACUGGGUUGUCUAGAGUGAGUGAGAAGUACGCGGAAUGCGAGGUGUANCGGUGAAAUGCAUAGAUAUCACGAAGAACUCCGAUUG